AAAUUAACAAUAUCUAUUCUCAUAGAAUUUGUCCAAUUAAGUGUAGACGAUUCAUGUCUUAUUUUUUUAAAGUAUUUAAAAGUAAAAUUACAUGUUAAUACGUAGUAUUAAUGGCGAGACUCCUGAGGGAGCAGUGCCAGUCGAAGACCGAGGCUGAGACGGCACCCUAGGAAAGCGAAGCCAUUCAAUACGAAGUAUUGUAUAAAUAGAGAACAGCAG
Molecule: non-coding RNA, 219 nt
Filed under: Staphylococcus aureus
Lineage: Bacteria; Bacillati; Bacillota; Bacilli; Caryophanales; Staphylococcaceae
Rfam family: S. aureus tsr24 small RNA
Source: RNAcentral